This is a small nuclear RNA of Antechinus flavipes (yellow-footed antechinus), 102 nucleotides long. NCBI's taxonomy places the organism in Eukaryota, Metazoa, Chordata, Mammalia, Dasyuromorphia, Dasyuridae. The record is from RefSeq and is a predicted model, not a curated record.
AUGCUUGCUUCAGCAGCAUAUAGACUAAAUUAGAAUGACACAGAGAAAAUUAUCAUGGCUCCUGCACAAGGAUGACAGGCAAAUUUGUGAAGCAAAAUUUUU